This 846-nucleotide long non-coding RNA is filed under the name Strongylocentrotus purpuratus (purple sea urchin). RNAcentral's name for it is "uncharacterized LOC115921204". Lineage: Eukaryota; Metazoa; Echinodermata; Echinoidea; Camarodonta; Strongylocentrotidae. The record is from RNAcentral.
ACGGGAUGCGACUGGGACGAACUUGGACGAGACUUGGAGAAACUUGACUUGGCGGGACUGGAAGCUGGACGAGAAUUGACGGGAACGAAGCUGGACGUGACUUGGAGAAACUUGACUUGGCGGGACUGGAAGCUGGACGGGAAUUGGCGGGAACGAAGCUGGACGUGACUUGGAGAACUUGACUUGGCGGGACUGGAAGCUGACGGGUACGGGAAUAAAGCUGGACGUGACUUUGGACUAAACUGGAUACAGUUCUUUAUUAUGUUGAAUUAACAGACACUUUCCCAAAUGACUGGAGCUGGAGUUGGCAUCGAGUUGACUUUAAAAUACGGAAGGUGUAUUUCAGAACUUGCUCAACCUGUUAUUCGAAUUCUCCAAAGUCCAAAUCUUGAAGUAUAUUGUAUACUGGAUAUUUGAAGUUGAAGCACUGAUGAGUUAGAGAUGGAUUAGAAGGAGAAAGGUUCCGGGUGGGGACGUUCCAGGUGGGGGGAUCCAAGUGAGGAUUUCAUGCAAGGGAUGGGGGUUUUAUACCUAAUUACAUAUUCACAAUCUCGAUUCCGAGAUCUCCUCCUACAAAAUAUUCUUACACUAAACUUCACUAUUUCAUUAUAAUUACAGUAGGUGACUGGGCGGGCAUAACACUUGAUGGACACUCGAAGAGUCGUCCUGAACAAUUUAUCCUAACAUUCUGAUUGGGCGAAAACAAAAAUAAGGGGAAGGAGUAGAAAAGACAAAGGCUCAUUGAACAGUUGGGUAUAUCCCUGCUCCUACUUCCUGCGAUGACUUAACUCCUUUUCCAAGAAAACAAAUGCUUUGUCUUCCAGCCCAAACUGGUAUUCGCAGAGG